GUGAGGAAUUUUCCGCAAUGGGCGAAAGCCUGACGGAGCAAUGCCGCGUGAAGGAUGAAGGCCUAUGGGUUGUAAACUUCUUUUCUCAGAAAAGAAUUAUGACGGUAUCUGAGGAAUAAGCAUCGGCUAACUCUGUGCCAGCAGCCGCGGUAAGACAGAGGAUGCAAGCGUUAUCCGGAAUGAUUGGGCGUAAAGCGUUUGUAGGUUGUUUAAAACGUAUUAUGUCAAAGAUUAGGGCUUAACCCUAGAUAGGCAGAAAAAACUUUUAAGCUAGAGUUUGGUAGAGGCAGAGGGAAUUCCCGGUGGAGCGGUGAAAUGCGUAGAUAUCGGGAGGAACACCAAAGGCGAAGGCACUCUGCUGGGCCAAUACUAACACUGAGAGACGAAAGCGAGGGGAGCAAAUGGGAUUAGAAACCCCUGUAGUCC
This 426-nucleotide ribosomal RNA is filed under the name uncultured bacterium. Its description in RNAcentral is "partial 16S ribosomal RNA". It matches the Rfam family "Bacterial small subunit ribosomal RNA", at positions 354 to 796 of the family's 1533-position model. The record is from RNAcentral.